This 415-nucleotide long non-coding RNA is filed under the name Mytilus galloprovincialis (Mediterranean mussel). The record is from RNAcentral. Lineage: Eukaryota; Metazoa; Mollusca; Bivalvia; Mytilida; Mytilidae.
UUGAAUUAAGGAUGUACUUAGGUGAGGUAAGGUAAAAAUUAAGAAAUUAAGAAAUUAAAAUUGAUACUAUAAGCUGGUAAGGCAUCAAUUAAGGAUAAAGAUUUGCUAAAAAUAUUGAUAGGUCAUAGACCUCCUUUUCGAGAUAUUUAAGAUUUAAAAUAUGGCGGGAAAAGACUGACUCGGACUUUUAUCUUAUAUUUGCAUUGGUAUUAUUUGGGUCUCAAAACAAAAGAAAGAAAAUCAAGAAUCUUCUAAAAUUUUGGUAAAUGACCUUUCAUGAGCUAUUAAGUCUUAUAUGAAAAAAAAGGGUGUUAUGGGGCAUAAUAUUUUACAUUGUAUUGUAUGGAAAAACACCAAGGAGUCCGAACAUUUGACACAAAUUCCAAAACCUCACCUAAGUACAUCCUUAAGGAAU